GUUCUUCUUCAGAAGCCAUGCCAGUGAAGUGAGCAGUACAAGUACUAAAACUGGAAUGAUACAGUGAAGAUAAGCAUGGUCCAUGCACAAGAAUUAUGUACAAAUUCUUCAAGUGUUCUAUAAUUUU
This is a small nuclear RNA of Neogale vison (American mink), 127 nucleotides long. Lineage: Eukaryota; Metazoa; Chordata; Mammalia; Carnivora; Mustelidae. The record is from Ensembl.